GAUGAACGCUGGCGGCGUGCCUAAUACAUGCCAGUCGAGCGAACAGACGAGGAGCUUGCUCCUCUGACGUUAGCGGCGGACGGGUGAGUAACACGUGGAUAACCUACCUAUAAGACUGAGAUAACUUCGGGAAACCGGAGCUAAUACCGGAUAAUAUAUUGAACCGCAUGGUUCAAUAGUGAAAGACGGUUUUGCUGUCACUUAUAGAUGGAUCCGCGCCGCAUUAGCUAGUUGGUAAGGUAACGGCUUACCAAGGCAACGAUGCGUAGCCGACCUGAGAGGGUGAUCGGCCACACUGGAACUGAGACACGGUCCAGACUCCUACGGGAGGCAGCAGUAGGGAAUCUUCCGCAAUGGGCGAAAGCCUGACGGAGCAACGCCGCGUGAGUGAUGAAGGUCUUCGGAUCGUAAAACUCUGUUAUUAGGGAAGAACAAAUGUGUAAGUAACUAUGCACGUCUUGACGGUACCUAAUCAGAAAGCCACGGCUAACUACGUG
This 497-nucleotide ribosomal RNA is filed under the name uncultured bacterium. Its description in RNAcentral is "partial 16S ribosomal RNA". It matches the Rfam family "Bacterial small subunit ribosomal RNA", at positions 28 to 507 of the family's 1533-position model. The record is from RNAcentral.